UGGGGAAUUUUGGACAAUGGGCGAAAGCCUGAUCCAGCAAUGCCGCGUGAGUGAAGAAGGCCUUCGGGUUGUAAAGCUCUUUUGUCAGGGAAGAAACGGUGGUUUCUAAUACAGAUCACUAAUGACGGUACCUGAAGAAUAAGCACCGGCUAACUACGUGCCAGCAGCCGCGGUAAUACGUAGGGUGCAAGCGUUAAUCGGAAUUACUGGGCGUAAAGCGUGCGCAGGCGGUUAUGUAAGACAGAUGUGAAAUGCCCGGGCUUAACCUGGGAACUGCAUUUGUGACUGCAUGGCUAGAGUUUGGCAGAGGGGGGUAGAAUUCCACGUGUAGCAGUGAAAUGCGUAGAUAUGUGGAGGAACACCGAUGGCGAAGGCAGCCCCCUGGGUCAAGACUGACGCUCAUGCACGAAAGCGUGGGGAGCAAACAGG
This 429-nucleotide ribosomal RNA is filed under the name uncultured bacterium. RNAcentral's name for it is "bacterial SSU rRNA". It matches the Rfam family "Bacterial small subunit ribosomal RNA", at positions 355 to 776 of the family's 1533-position model. The record is from RNAcentral.